This 342-nucleotide unclassified non-coding RNA is filed under the name soil metagenome. RNAcentral's name for it is "partial contains 5.8S ribosomal RNA, internal transcribed spacer 2, and large subunit ribosomal RNA". The stretch from base 3 to 119 matches the Rfam family "5.8S ribosomal RNA", at positions 38 to 154 of the family's 154-position model. The record is from RNAcentral.
GAGAAGAACGCAGCGAAAUGCGAUAAGUAAUGUGAAUUGCAGAAUUCAGUGAAUCAUCGAAUCUUUGAACGCACAUUGCGCCCGCUAGUAUUCUGGCGGGCAUGCCUGUCCGAGCGUCAUUUCAACCCUCAAGCCCCCGGGCUUGGUGUUGGGGAUCGGCGAGCCUCCGCGCCCGCCGUCCCCUAAAUCUAGUGGCGGUCUCGCUGUAGCUUCCUCUGCGUAGUAGCACACCUCGCACUGGGAAACAGCGCGGCCACGCCGUUAAACCCCCAACUUCUGAACGUUUGACCUCGGAUCAGGUAGGAAUACCCGCUGAACUUAAGCAUAUCAAUAAGCGGAGGA